GAAGGGGGCUAGCGUUGUUCGGAAUUACUGGGCGUAAAGCGAGUGUAGGCGGUUGCCCAAGUCAGGUGUGAAAGCCUUGAGCUCAACUCAAGAAAUGCACUUGGUACUGGGUGGCUAGAGGACCGGAGAGGAUAGUGGAAUUCCCAGUGUAGUGGUGAAAUACGUAGAGAUUGGGAAGAACACCAGUGGCGAAGGCGGCUAUCUGGACGGUUACUGACGCUAAGACUCGAAAGCGUGGGGAGCAAACAGGAUUAGAUACCCUGGUAGUCCACGCCGUAAACGAUGGGUGCUAGACGUUGGCGAGCUUGCUCGUCAGUGUCGCAGCUAACGCGUUAAGCACCCCGCCUGGGGAGUACGGCCGCAAGGUUGAA
Molecule: ribosomal RNA, 371 nt
Filed under: uncultured bacterium
Lineage: Bacteria
Description: bacterial SSU rRNA
Rfam family: Bacterial small subunit ribosomal RNA
Source: RNAcentral